This 329-nucleotide unclassified non-coding RNA is filed under the name soil metagenome. RNAcentral describes it as "partial contains 5.8S ribosomal RNA, internal transcribed spacer 2, and large subunit ribosomal RNA". The stretch from base 1 to 120 matches the Rfam family "5.8S ribosomal RNA", at positions 35 to 154 of the family's 154-position model. The record is from RNAcentral.
GAUGAAGAACGUAGCGAGAUGCGAUAAGUAAUGUGAAUUGCAGAAUUCAGUGAAUCAUCGAAUCUUUGAACGCACAUUGCGCCCCUUGGUAUUCCGAGGGGCAUGCCUGUUCGAGCGUCAUUAUAACCCCUCAAGCUCAGCUUGGUGUUGGGGCCUGCUGCACUGGCAGCCCUUAAAAUCAGUGGCGGCGCCAUCUGGCUCUAAGCGUAGUAAUUCUUCUCGCUAUGGAGUCCUGGUGGAUGCUUGCCAUCAACCCCCAAUUUUUCUAUGGUUGACCUCGGAUCAGGUAGGGAUACCCGCUGAACUUAAGCAUAUCAAUAAGCGGAGGA